UAUCCAUGGUGUGGACAAUCUCUUUGGUAUUCCCUAAAUCUUUCCCAAGUUUCUAAAAGAUCUUCAUCUUCUUUUUUGUUUAAAAGUUCUUAUCUUCUUUCUUAAGAGA
This is a small nucleolar RNA of Eutrema salsugineum, 109 nucleotides long. It matches the Rfam family "Plant small nucleolar RNA R71". Rfam says of the family: R71 is a member of the C/D box family of snoRNAs containing the C (UGAUGA) and D (CUGA) box motifs. Multiple nearly identical copies of this snoRNA have been identified in Arabidopsis, and it is thought to function as a 2'-O-ribose methylation guide for 18S ribosomal RNA. The record is from Rfam. Lineage: Eukaryota; Viridiplantae; Streptophyta; Magnoliopsida; Brassicales; Brassicaceae.